AUGCGUUGUUGGGUAGGGGAGCGUUCUGUAAGCCUGCGAAGGUGUGCUGUGAGGCAUGCUGGAGGUAUCAGAAGUGCGAAUGCUGACAUAAGUAACGAUAAAGCGGGUGAAAAGCCCGCUCGCCGGAAGACCAAGGGUUCCUGUCCAGCGUUAAUCGGGGCAGGGUGAGUCGACCCCUAAGGCGAGGCCGAAAGGCGUAGUCGAUGGGAAACAGGUUAAUAUUCCUGUACUUGGUGUUACUGCGAAGGGGGGACGGAGAAGGCUAUGUUGGCCGGGCGACGGUUGUCCCGGUUUAAGCGUGUAGGCUGGUUUUCCAGGCAAAUCCGGAAAAUCAAGGCUGAGGCGUGAUGACGAGGCACUACGGUGCUGAAGCAACAAAUGCCCUGCUUCCAGGAAAAGCCUCUAAGCAUCAGGUAACAUCAAAUCGUACCCCAAACCGACACAGGUGGUCAGGUAGAGAAUACCAAGGCGCUUGAGAGAACUCGGGUGAAGGAACUAGGCAAAAUGGUGCCGUAACUUCGGGAGAAGGCACGCUGAUAUGUAGGUGAAGUCCCUCGCGGAUGGAGCUGAAAUCAGUCGAAGAUACCAGCUGGCUGCAACUGUUUAUUAAAAACACAGCACUGUGCAAACACGAAAGUGGACGUAUACGGUGUGACGCCUGCCCGGUGCCGGAAGGUUAAUUGAUGGGGUUAGCCGCAAGGCGAAGCUCUUGAUCGAAGCCCCGGUAAACGGCGGCCGUAACUAUAACGGUCCUAAGGUAGCGAAAUUCCUUGUCGGGUAAGUUCCGACCUGCACGAAUGGCGUAAUGAUGGCCAGGCUGUCUCCACCCGAGACUCAGUGAAAUUGAACUCGCUGUGAAGAUGCAGUGUACCCGCGGCAAGACGGAAAGACCCCGUGAACCUUUACUAUAGCUUGACACUGAACAUUGAGCCUUGAUGUGUAGGAUAGGUGGGAGGCUUAGAAGUGUGGACGCCAGUCUGCAUGGAGCCGACCUUGAAAUACCACCCUUUAAUGUUUGAUGUUCUAACGUUGACCCGUAAUCCGGGUUGCGGACAGUGUCUGGUGGGUAGUUUGACUGGGGCGGUCUCCUCCUAAAGAGUAACGGAGGAGCACGAAGGUUGGCUAAUCCUGGUCGGACAUCAGGAGGUUAGUGCAAUGGCAUAAGCCAGCUUGACUGCGAGCGUGACGGCGCGAGCAGGUGCGAAAGCAGGUCAUAGUGAUCCGGUGGUUCUGAAUGGAAGGGCCAUCGCUCAACGGAUAAAAGGUACUCCGGGGAUAACAGGCUGAUACCGCCCAAGAGUUCAUAUCGACGGCGGUGUUUGGCACCUCGAUGUCGGCUCAUCACAUCCUGGGGCUGAAGUAGGUCCCAAGGGUAUGGCUGUUCGCCAUUUAAAGUGGUACGCGAGCUGGGUUUAGAACGUCGUGAGACAGUUCGGUCCCUAUCUGCCGUGGGCGCUGGAGAACUGAGGGGGGCUGCUCCUAGUACGAGAGGACCGGAGUGGACGCAUCACUGGUGUUCGGGUUGUCAUGCCAAUGGCACUGCCCGGUAGCUAAAUGCGGAAGAGAUAAGUGCUGAAAGCAUCUAAGCACGAAACUUGCCCCGAGAUGAGUUCUCCCUGACUCCUUGAGAGUCCUGAAGGAACGUUGAAGACGACGACGUUGAUAGGCCGGGUGUGUAAGCGCAGCGAUGCGUUGAGCUAACCGGUACUAAUGAACCGUGAGGCUUAACCU
RNAcentral lists this ribosomal RNA (1731 nucleotides) under Escherichia coli P0305260.1. RNAcentral's name for it is "bacterial LSU rRNA". It matches the Rfam family "Bacterial large subunit ribosomal RNA", at positions 1216 to 2925 of the family's 2925-position model. The record is from RNAcentral. Lineage: Bacteria; Pseudomonadati; Pseudomonadota; Gammaproteobacteria; Enterobacterales; Enterobacteriaceae.